Molecule: ribosomal RNA, 464 nt
Filed under: uncultured bacterium
Lineage: Bacteria
Description: partial 16S ribosomal RNA
Rfam family: Bacterial small subunit ribosomal RNA
Source: RNAcentral
ACGCACGCUGGCGGCGUGCUUCACACAUGCCAGUCGAACGGAAAGGCCCUGCUUGCAGGGUGCUCGAGUGGCGAACGGGUGAGUAACACGUGGGUGAUCUGCCCUGCACUUCGGGAUAAGCCUGGGAAACUGGGUCUAAUACCGGAUAGGAGCCAUUUUUAGUGUGAUGGUUGGAAAGUUUUUUCGGUGUAGGAUGAGCUCGCGGCCUAUCAGCUUGUUGGUGGGGUAAUGGCCUACCAAGGCGGCGACGGGUAGCCGGCCUGAGAGGGUGGACGGCCACAUUGGGACUGAGAUACGGCCCAGACUCCUACGGGAGGCAGCAGUGGGGAAUAUUGCACAAUGGGCGCAAGCCUGAUGCAGCGACGCCGCGUGGGGGAUGACGGCCUUCGGGUUGUAAACUCCUUUCGCUAGGGACGAAGCUUUUUGUGACGGUACCUAGAUAAGAAGCACCGGCUAACUACGUG